UUGGCGAAUGAAAAAUUUUACGCGUGUACGCGUAAGAAGAAACCUGUUGGUACUUACGUCGCUGGAUUUGCAAAUUGUUGCUGGCCACCCCCGAGAUCUUUCGACUUUUCGAUUUCCGGUGUCGUCCCUUUCCCAGAUGUUGAAGCGAGCCGAAUCGUUACCAUUUCUUUGCUCUUCGACUGUUGCUGAUCGAUUAACACCUGGACCGCAUUUCCCAGCCGGAUGAUUUUACAUCAACGAAAACUCGUCGUGCAGAAAAGAGGAAAGAAGUCUGAGUGGCAGCUGUGAUUGGCGACUCCCCAUCUCGAGCAAUCCAUGGCGUCGAAUUCUCACUUCCCAAAAGAUUUACAGAAUACCUCACUGUGAAAAUUCGGGACCAACGUUAUUCUACGCUUGGACUGCGACCGUUCUGAAACUUUUACAUGUAUCAGCUAAAUAACCGAUCAUCAUUCCUGACUUGUUUGAAACCACGCACUUUCAAACAAGCAAUAAGGCGUCAAACUGAGCUAAACUCUAGAACUGCAGUUACGAACGAUUGAAUGUAAAGGCGCAGAAUUAAUUUGUACGCCUGAGAUACACCACCUAAGCUAGGACGUAUAUAUAUAUAUUCGAAACGAAACAAAACAUGAUCCUCGGAGAAGCAGCCCCUGGAGGGAAAUCGGGCUGUUUAAAUUCGCGGUUCCAAUUCGCCGCGGUGUAGCGUGCCAAUUAAAUUUCAUUGUAAUAAUCGAGUCUGCGGCGGUGUCGGCGGAUCUCGGAGACGAUGCA
Molecule: long non-coding RNA, 768 nt
Organism: Hylaeus anthracinus
Lineage: Eukaryota; Metazoa; Arthropoda; Insecta; Hymenoptera; Colletidae
Exons: 6
Source: RefSeq, a predicted model, not a curated record